GACCAUGAGCUGGUUGUAGCAUGGCUUGGCUUCUAACAAAGUUUUCACCAUUUUAGGCUGCAUUUAAAAGUACAGUGUCCAUGUCAGGGUAGGAGGCCAAGGUGCGGGAGAAGUUUCUGUCCAGGAUCUCUGAAGUCUUUACCAAAGAUAGAAGCAUGAUUCUAAGAAGAACCUUUUUUGGGAGAAGAAGGCUGAUAUUCUACCUCAAUGAGGCCAGAAUAAAAGAAAACAGAUCUAUUGCACCCCAAUUUCCCUUUGGAGAAUUACUUCCUCCAUGUUGUAUGCAGCCUCAGGAUGUCCUGCCCACCAGCCACAGAGGCUACUGGCUCCUUUCAACAGAAGCUCUCACCACCCAGCUACAGCCAAGCGUGUGACCCAAGCUCCAUCAGACUCCCUCUCCUUAGAUUUGACCCUUAGACCAGUGACUACAAGGGCAAAAGAAAUGGUCAGGGUUCAUUCAAUGCCACGUUUGUUCCUGCCACCUCGUCUAUUCCCAGCCUUGUGCCUUCAUCCUCCCUUCAAUCAUACAAAAGCACUAAUAUCUUUCCAGUAUGUUCCAUUAUGCUUUAGUCAGCUCAUUAGUUUCUGUUGCCUACAACCAAGUAACCCUAAGUGGAUAAAGUUUCAUGAAGAUUUGUUUUUGUUUGUUUUUCGUGGAGUUCCGCUGCUAAAAUGUGAGAGUUUGGACCAGAUGAUUUGAGUUGCUGCUCCUGGUCCUGUGUGUUUAAGCUUAAAAA
RNAcentral lists this long non-coding RNA (737 nucleotides) under Equus caballus (horse). RNAcentral describes it as "lncRNA (ENSECAG00000059980.1)". Lineage: Eukaryota; Metazoa; Chordata; Mammalia; Perissodactyla; Equidae. The record is from RNAcentral.